Molecule: ribosomal RNA, 645 nt
Filed under: Tricholoma miyama-matsushimeji
Lineage: Eukaryota; Fungi; Basidiomycota; Agaricomycetes; Agaricales; Tricholomataceae
Description: partial small subunit rRNA
Rfam family: Bacterial small subunit ribosomal RNA
Source: RNAcentral
UUGCCAGAGUGAACUAGCUAACUGAAAUCAUAUGACUCAUGAAUUUGGUGAUUAUGAUAACAUAAGGGAAAAUAAUGAUGUUACCUUAUUAUUAGUGUUGUCCCAAAACUGGUGCCAGAAGACUCGGUAAGACCAGAGACCGCAAACGUUAGUCAUCUUAAUCAGGCGUAAAGGGUGUGUAGGCUGCUUUAAAAGUUUAUUUUUUUUAAUAGCUCUUUAACCGUAAUACUAUCUAAAAAUAUUUCUUAUUAAAAAAGGAAAGGUAGUAUAUAAAAUUUAUUUUCAAAUAAAUGAUAUUUAUAAGAUAUCCGUGUUUUAGUAAAAAAAUAAAUGAAUUAAAGCUAGAAUCAAAUUGAGGAUAAACCAAAUAAUACUUAGAGUAGGGGUUAAAUCCACAGAUACUAAGGGGAAUACUAAUGGUGAAGACUUUUUAUCUACUAAUGAUUGACGCUGAGACACGAAGGUGAGAAUAGGAAAUAGGAUUUGAUACCCAGAUACCUCUCACUGUCAACGAUGAAUGGUGGUUGUUAGUUUUAGAAAAAACUGGUAACGAUGUUAACACGAUAACCAUUCCGCCUUGCGAGUACGGUUGCAAAACUGAAACCAAAAAAAUUAGUCGGUCUCGAAGCAAACGAAGUGAAGCAU